CGGUAGCUCGUCAGGCUCAUAACCUGAAGGCCGCAGGUUCAAAUCCUGCCCCCGCAACCA
RNAcentral lists this transfer RNA (60 nucleotides) under Bartonella doshiae. RNAcentral describes it as "tRNA-OTHER". It matches the Rfam family "tRNA", at positions 16 to 71 of the family's 71-position model. Rfam says of the family: Transfer RNA (tRNA) molecules are approximately 80 nucleotides in length. Their secondary structure includes four short double-helical elements and three loops (D, anti-codon, and T loops). Lineage: Bacteria; Pseudomonadati; Pseudomonadota; Alphaproteobacteria; Hyphomicrobiales; Bartonellaceae. The record is from RNAcentral.